Danio rerio (zebrafish) is the source of this 260-nucleotide non-coding RNA. The record is from Ensembl. Lineage: Eukaryota; Metazoa; Chordata; Actinopteri; Cypriniformes; Danionidae.
CUGACGCGUUCAUUCAGCGUCGAGUCUUCAGAGCUGAGAGCUGCUGAAAUCCUCUUUAUUUCAUGUUAAUAGUUCCUGUUUUCCCCUGUUCAUUAUACUGAUGUCUUCAGAUCCACAUAUUGCCAAGUUUUUUGGAGGAUGGUGAGAAGAUGAGUGAUCCAGAACCCUGCAGAAUUAAACAGGAAGAGACUGAAGAACUAAUAGAUGUGAUGGUGAAGGAGGAGAGUGAAGAACUGAGUGAAGAUGAGGAGAAACAUCAU